RNAcentral lists this ribosomal RNA (414 nucleotides) under uncultured microorganism. RNAcentral describes it as "bacterial SSU rRNA". It matches the Rfam family "Archaeal small subunit ribosomal RNA", at positions 459 to 872 of the family's 1478-position model. The record is from RNAcentral.
CAGCCGCCGCGGUAAUACCGGCGGCCCGAGUGGCGGUCACUAUUAUUGGGCUUAAAGCGUCCGGAGCCGGGUUGGGAAGUCCUCCGGGAAAUCUGGCCGCUUAACGGUCCGAAUGCCGGAGGAUACUCCCAGCCUAGGGAGCGGGAGAGGCCGAGGGGAUUCCCGGAGUAGGGGUGAAAUCCUAUAAUCCCGGGAGGGCCACCUGUGGCGAAGGCGCUCGGCUGGAACGCGUCCGACGGUGAGGGACGAAGGCCAGGGGAGCAAACCGGAUUAGAUACCCGGGUAGUCCUGGCUGUAAACGAUGCGGACGUUGUGUCGGACAAGCUAUGAGCUUGUCCGGUGCCGGAGGGAAACCGUUAAGUCCGCCGCCUGGGGAGUACGGCCGCAAGGCUGAAACUUAAAGGAGUUGGCGGG